Molecule: ribosomal RNA, 122 nt
Filed under: Ricinus communis (castor bean)
Lineage: Eukaryota; Viridiplantae; Streptophyta; Magnoliopsida; Malpighiales; Euphorbiaceae
Source: RNAcentral
GGGUGCGAUCAUUCCAGCACUAAUGCACCAGAUCCCAUCAGAAUUCCGAAGUUAAACGUGUUUGGGCGAGAGUAGUACUAAGAUGGGUGACCUCUUGGACUGAGGUUUUUAAGAUGGAUUUU